RNAcentral lists this long non-coding RNA (1336 nucleotides) under Monodelphis domestica (gray short-tailed opossum). RNAcentral's name for it is "lncRNA (ENSMODG00000042562.1)". The record is from RNAcentral. Lineage: Eukaryota; Metazoa; Chordata; Mammalia; Didelphimorphia; Didelphidae.
AAGGACAAAAAAGUUGGUGAAAAGUCUUGAGUCCAUAUGUUUAAAAAUCAGUUGAAAAAACUGGGGAUAUUUAACCCAAGGUAGAAACAGUUUAUGGAAGACAUGUUAACUUUCGAGUUUUGAAAAGCUGAACAUUCUUAGGGAAAAUAUUUGUUCUAUUUGGCCCCAGUCAGCAGAUCUAGAAACACUGUUUAGGUGCUUCAAAGGGUUUCAGAUGAGUAUAUGGAACAUCUUCAGAGCAAAUCAACUAUCCAAAAGUGGAAAGAGCUGCUUCCAAAAGUAGUACGUUUCUCAGCCUUAGUCUUCAAGCAAAGGCUUGAUGGCAACGUUCUCUAAUGGAUGGAAGACAUAAUAUUCUUCAGUAUAAAGGUCCAUAUAACCUUGACCACCUUGGUAGGAUUAUGAGACCAUAAAUUAUCUGAAUGAUCAAGUUUAUAUACUCAUCCCAGAUUGCUACCACCAGGACAUCCUUGAGCUAAUUCUGGAAAAAGUCAUACAGCCUGAGUUCAUUUAUCACAUUUGCCUACUCACUUUGCUGUACUAUAUUCACCAUCAUGCCUAUAAUGGAUUGGGUUUCGACUUUCUUAAUUAGAUGGGAACCUCAAGUUAGAACUGUGAAUGAAAGUUGACUUUUGUUUCCAGUUUCUCUUUUCUACCAUCAAAGAGACAACUAUCCUUCUGAAUAGCAAUUAGUCCACAAUAUCUAAGCAAUGGUCUGACUUUCAUUUUAAUGACUUGAAGUAUGUGCAGGUGUUCAUAUUCCUGCAAUUUCCUAAUACCUUUUUCAUAGUUUUCACACAUGGACACUCCGAUAGAUCAAUGAUUUCCUCAAUGUGAACAUACAUGAAAGUACAUCCAUCACAACUCCUUCAACUAAAAUAUCCUCCUAUUGGUCUCUGCCUUCUGAAAUCCUACCCAUCUUUCAAGGACCAGAUCAAAUGCCACCUUCUUUGAGAUUUCAUGAGUCACUUAUCCACUGUUUACCUCAGUUUCUUCAUCUAUAAAUUGGGGAUAAUAUCAAUAUCUAACUCCCAUGGUUGCUGUAAGAAUCAAAUAAGAUAUUUGUAAGGUGUUUUGCAAACCUUAAAGAAUCUUGUAAACGUUAUUAUUAUUCUUAUUAUCUCAUAUGACCCCUUUCAUGUGAAAGUACUCUUCAGUGAUCCAGGUUGCAAUCCAUCUUUCCCUAUCCGACCUUUGCAAUUCUUGGCCAUAAUGAAGAAACUAUGAUCAUCACAGAAUGACCUCCAGGCUCCUGGGUACCAUUUUUGAUUACCCCCAACAUCAAAAACAGAGCUGCUGUCUCCAAGUUUCACUUGUUCUCAUUAGUUGACCAGUC